AACGAACGCUGGCGGCAGGCCUAACACAUGCAAGUCGAACGCUCGUAGCAAUACGGGAGUGGCAGACGGGUGAGUAACGCGUGGGAACGUACCCUUUGGUUCGGAACAACUCCGGGAAACUGGAGCUAAUACCGGAUGAGCCCUACGGGGGAAAGAUUUAACGCCGAAGGAUCGGCCCGCGUCGGAUUAGCUAGUUGGUGAGGUAACGGCUCACCAAGGCGACGAUCCGUAGCUGGUCUGAGGGGAUGAUCAGCCACACUGGGACUGAGACACGGCCCAGACUCCUACGGGAGGCAGCAGUGGGGAAUAUUGGACAAUGGGCGCAAGCCUGAUCCAGCCAUACCGCGUGAGUGAUGAAGGCCUUAGGGUUGUAAAGCUCUUUCGCCAGGGACGAUAAUGACGGUACCUGGAUAAGAAGCCCCGACUAACUUCGUGCCAGCCGCCGCAGUAA
This 451-nucleotide ribosomal RNA is filed under the name uncultured bacterium. Its description in RNAcentral is "partial 16S ribosomal RNA". It matches the Rfam family "Bacterial small subunit ribosomal RNA", at positions 29 to 523 of the family's 1533-position model. The record is from RNAcentral.